Molecule: microRNA precursor, 134 nt
Filed under: Olea europaea subsp. europaea
Lineage: Eukaryota; Viridiplantae; Streptophyta; Magnoliopsida; Lamiales; Oleaceae
Source: RNAcentral
UACGUACAUAUGUACAUAUGUACGUACAUAUAUACAGAUAUAUGUACAUACAUAUGUACUUAUAUGUACAUAUGUACGUACAUACGUACAUAUGUACACGUAUAUAUGUACGUACAUACGUACGUAUGUACGUA